CAAUAGCGUAUAUUAAAGUUGUUGCGGUUAAAAAGCUCGUAGUUGGAUUUCUGUCUAGGGUGGCCGGUACCCACUAUGUGAAGUAUCUGGUUCAGUCUGGGCAUCCUCUUGGGGAUCGUUCCUGUGCUUGAUUGCAUGGGACGGAAUUCAAGACUUUUACUUUGAGGAAAUUAGAGUGUUCACGGCAAGCUUUCGCUUUGAAUACAUUAGCAUGGAAUAAUAGAAUAGGACUACGGUCUCGUUGUUGGUUUGAGGGACUGGAGUAAUGAUUAAUAGGGAUAGUUGGGGGCAUUAGUAUUUAAUUGUCAGAGGUGAAAUUCUCAGAUUAACUAAAGACUAACUUAUGCGAAAGCAUUUGCCAAGGAUGUUUUCAUUAAUCAAGAACGAAAGUUAGGGGAUCAAAGACGAUCAGAUACCAU
Molecule: ribosomal RNA, 419 nt
Filed under: uncultured eukaryote
Lineage: Eukaryota
Description: bacterial SSU rRNA
Rfam family: Eukaryotic small subunit ribosomal RNA
Source: RNAcentral